RNAcentral lists this ribosomal RNA (434 nucleotides) under uncultured Lachnospiraceae bacterium. RNAcentral describes it as "partial 16S ribosomal RNA". It matches the Rfam family "Bacterial small subunit ribosomal RNA", at positions 341 to 792 of the family's 1533-position model. Lineage: Bacteria; Bacillati; Bacillota; Clostridia; Lachnospirales; Lachnospiraceae. The record is from RNAcentral.
ACGGAAGGCAGCAGUGGGGAAUAUUGCACAAUGGGGGAAACCCUGAUGCAGCAACGCCGCGUGAGUGAAGAAGUAUUUCGGUAUGUAAAGCUCUAUCAGCAGGGAAGAAAAUGACGGUACCUGACUAAGAAGCCCCGGCUAACUACGUGCCAGCAGCCGCGGUAAUACGUAGGGGGCAAGCGUUAUCCGGAUUUACUGGGUGUAAAGGGAGCGUAGACGGCAAGGCAAGUCAGAAGUGAAAGCAUAGGGCUUAACCCUGUAACUGCUUUUGAAACUGUUUAGCUAGAGUGUCGGAGAGGUAAGUGGAAUUCCUAGUGUAGCGGUGAAAUGCGUAGAUAUUAGGAGGAACACCAGAGGCGAAGGCGGCUUACUGGACGAUUACUGACGUUGAGGCUCGAAAGCGUGGGGAGCAAACAGGAUUAGAUACCUUGGUA